AAUGAACGUUGGCGGCGUGGAUUAGGCAUGCAAGUCGAGCGAGAACCAGUCUUCGGAUUGGGGACAGCGGCGAACGGGGUAGGAAUACCUCGGUGACGUACCCCCCGGUCGGGGAUAGCGGCGGGAAACUGCCGGUAAUACCCGAUGAUCUUUCCAAGUUUUACGACAGGGAAAGCAAAGGUGUGAUUCCGUCGGGGGAGCGGCUGAGGUCGUAUUAGCUAGUUGGUAAGGUCACGGCUUACCAAGGCGAUGAUGCGUAGGGGGUGUGAGAGCAUGGCCCCCACCACUGGCACUGAGACACUGGCCAGACACCUACGGGUGGCAG
This 325-nucleotide ribosomal RNA is filed under the name uncultured Planctomycetota bacterium. RNAcentral's name for it is "bacterial SSU rRNA". It matches the Rfam family "Bacterial small subunit ribosomal RNA", at positions 29 to 351 of the family's 1533-position model. Lineage: Bacteria; Pseudomonadati; Planctomycetota. The record is from RNAcentral.